RNAcentral lists this ribosomal RNA (440 nucleotides) under uncultured bacterium. RNAcentral describes it as "partial 16S ribosomal RNA". It matches the Rfam family "Bacterial small subunit ribosomal RNA", at positions 339 to 795 of the family's 1533-position model. The record is from RNAcentral.
CUACGGGGGGCACCAGUGGGGAAUAUUGCACAAUGGAGGAAACUCUGAUGCAGCAACGCCGCGUGGAGGAUGACGCAUUUCGGUGUGUAAACUCCUUUUAUAUGGGAAGAUAAUGACGGUACCAUAUGAAUAAGCACCGGCUAACUCCGUGCCAGCAGCCGCGGUAAUACGGAGGGUGCAAGCGUUACUCGGAAUCACUGGGCGUAAAGCGCGCGCAGGCGGCUAGAUAAGUUGGAAGUGAAAUCCUAUGGCUCAACCAUAGAACUGCUUCCCAAACUGUUUAGACUGAGGUCUGGGAGGGGAAGGUGGAAUUAGUUGUGUAGGGGUAAAAUUCGGAGGGAUUACUAGGAAUAACCAAAGCGAAGGCGGUCUUCUGGAAACGGACUGACCCUGAGGCGCGGAAGCGUGGGGAGCAAACAGGAUUAGAUACCCCUGUAGUC